Molecule: ribosomal RNA, 310 nt
Filed under: uncultured bacterium
Lineage: Bacteria
Description: partial 16S ribosomal RNA
Rfam family: Bacterial small subunit ribosomal RNA
Source: RNAcentral
AAGAGACAGCAGUAGCCACGGUAAUACAGAGGGUGCGAGCGUUAAUCAGAUUUACUGGGCGUAAAGCGUGCGUAGGCGGCUUUUUAAGUCGGAUGUGAAAUCCCUGAGCUUAACUUAGGAAUUGCAUUCGAUACUGGGAAGCUAGAGUAUGGGAGAGGAUGGUAGAAUUCCAGGUGUAGCGGUGAAAUGCGUAGAGAUCUGGAGGAAUACCGAUGGCGAAGGCAGCCAUCUGGCCUAAUACUGACGCUGAGGUACGAAAGCAUGGGGAGCAAACAGGAUUAGAUACCCGCGUAGUCCCUGUCUCUUAUAC